GAUGAACGCUGGCGGCGUGCCUAAUACAUGCAAGUCGAGCGAACAGACGAGGAGCUUGCUCCUCUUACGUUAGCGGCGGACGGGUGAGUAACACGUGGAUAACCUACCUAUAAGACUGGGAUCACUUCGGGAAACCGGAUCUAAUACCGGAUAAUAUAUUGAACCGCAUGGUUCAAUAGUGAAAGACGGUUUUGCUGUCACUUAUAGAUGGAUCCGCGCCGCAUUAGCUAGUUGGUAAGGUAACGGCUUACCAAGGCAACGAUGCGUAGCCGACCUGAGAGGAUGAUCGGCCACACUGGAACUGAGACACGGUCCAGACUCCUACGGGAGGCAGCAGUAGGGAAUCUUGCGCAAUGGGCGAAAGCCUGACGGAGCAACGCCGCGUGAGUGAUGAAGGUCUUCGGAUCGUAAAACUCUGUUAUUAGGGAAGAACAAAUGUGUAAGUAACUAUGCACGUCUUGACGGUACCUAAUCAGAAAGCCACGGCUAACUACGUG
RNAcentral lists this ribosomal RNA (497 nucleotides) under uncultured bacterium. RNAcentral's name for it is "partial 16S ribosomal RNA". It matches the Rfam family "Bacterial small subunit ribosomal RNA", at positions 28 to 507 of the family's 1533-position model. The record is from RNAcentral.